Molecule: long non-coding RNA, 228 nt
Organism: Bufo gargarizans (Asiatic toad)
Lineage: Eukaryota; Metazoa; Chordata; Amphibia; Anura; Bufonidae
Exons: 3
Source: RefSeq, a predicted model, not a curated record
UGUAUAUAUAGCAACAUAGUAUUAUCUUGCCUAUUUAUAGCUUGCAGCAUUACUAAGUGCAUUUGAGAUAUUCUGGAGACUAACUUUGAGCUUUUCUAAUGUAGCAGAACUUCAGCUGUGUUUUUGGUGGCUACUCAGACACUGCUUCAAAACAGCAGAACUUCAACUGUGUUUUUAGUGGCUACUCAGACAUUGUGCUUUAAAACAGCAGAACUUCAGCUGUGUUUU